GGGCUCACCUCUGCAGCACAAAUACUAAAAUUGGAACGAUACAGAGAAGAUUAGCAUGGCCUCUGCACAAGGAUGACUCGCAAAUUCGGGAGGCGUUCCAUAUUUUU
Molecule: small nuclear RNA, 107 nt
Filed under: Sciurus vulgaris (Eurasian red squirrel)
Lineage: Eukaryota; Metazoa; Chordata; Mammalia; Rodentia; Sciuridae
Source: RNAcentral